UACGGAGGGAGCUAGCGUUGUUCGGAAUUACUGGGCGUAAAGCGCACGUAGGCGGCUUUGUAAGUUAGAGGUGAAAGCCCGGGGCUCAACUCCGGAACUGCCUUUAAGACUGCAUCGCUUGAAUCCAGGAGAGGUGAGUGGAAUUCCGAGUGUAGAGGUGAAAUUCGUAGAUAUUCGGCGGAACACCAGUGGCGAAGGCGACUCACUGGCCCGAUACUGACGCUGAGGCGCGAAAGCGUGGGGAGCAAACAGG
This 253-nucleotide ribosomal RNA is filed under the name uncultured bacterium. Its description in RNAcentral is "partial 16S ribosomal RNA". It matches the Rfam family "Bacterial small subunit ribosomal RNA", at positions 524 to 776 of the family's 1533-position model. The record is from RNAcentral.